UUGAACAGUCCACAGCACAAGGGAAAAUAUCAACACAUCUUUUUUUUUUUUUUGUAAAGAGAUAGUAAAUAUUAUACAUUUGCAAGACACGUAAUUCUUCAAACACAUAUUUUUCCUUUUUUUUUUUUUUUUUUUUUUACGCUUUAAAAAAGCGAAAAGCAUUCUUAGUUCUGGGGCCAUACGAAACAAGCUGUGGGCUGGAUUGGACCCGUAGUAGGGGACAGCAGAGGCAUUAGAGAAAAGGAACCUGUAUCACUGCAGGAAAGAGACCAAGGAACCUGUAUCGCUGCAGGAAAGAGACCUUUAGAAGGUGAUGUGAGCAGUGAUUUCUACAGAGUGAACAUCUCUGAAUUCCUCUGAUAAUUUAAGACCCUGCAGCACCUGAGUAUCACCGGGUUGCACAUCAGUUCUCAUCCAAUUAGCUUGCAGUUAUAGGAGACAAAAAGGGAUGGCCUCCAUUUACAAGAAAAGCAUCUAAAAGGUUCUCUGCAUCCACAGACAUCAUCAUGUCAACAGGAUGGAGGACAAGAUAAAGAAAGUGACAGAGGUGCAAGCUGCUAUCUCUCAGAAGGGUUUAGAAAAAUUGUCACUUACUACUCCCACUUACAACCCUUCGGCUAUAUUUUUGUUACAUGGUCAAAGCUAGCUACAACAGAAGCAAUGACCAGCUAAAAUUCUGGGUUUGUGUUCAUUUGAGAGAAAACGAGAAUACAUUUUGGGGGGAAACUAGCAGUCUCUGACAUAGAAUAUCGUGACAGAUAGAUGGAUAACAGGUCUUUAAAAGCAACUUUAGUAACUUUCACCUCAUAACACCACAACACUUACUACAUUAGAGACUUGAAGUGUCAGGUGUAAUGAGAUCAAGUACAUGACCUUAAAAUGAUCUUAUUUCAUAAGUUAUUAGAAUCUCAGAUCCAGAUCAGGCUAAAAGAUCACUUAGUAUAAAAAACACAAAGAACAAACAUUCUUCACCAAUGUGUAUCCCAGGUUUUGUUUAAAUACUUCAAGUUAUAUAAUUCUCAGUUUUUUUUGAAAGCCUAUUCUUCAUCUCAACUGCUUUAGAUAAUAUUAAUUUUCAACCAUUUAUUCUAAUCCUGUCUUUUAAAAUGAUGCUAAACAAAUAUUUUCUUUCUUCAUCGAAAUGAUUCUUUAAAAACUAGGAAAUAGCUGCUUUUACCCCUUUAGUGUCAUCCCUAAAAUCACCUUCAGGCUAAAUAAUCUGAAUUUCUUGAACACAAGUUUUAGGUUCAUUAUCACCUGAGUAAUGUCCUUCCUUUAGAUUUCUGGAUGCUCUUGCUUUUGUUAAGGUCAAUCUUAACAUCUGAUACAACAAUAUUUAUUCAUCAUUAAACACAAGACUUUCUUCCUUUCUUCUUUCUUCCUAAUUCAAGCUGAACUAAACAUAACAGAAAUCAUCUGGCAGCUGUUCACAGUACCCUCUCCCUCUUAUCGCCACCCAUCUCCUUCCCAUUGCUUAGAUAAAGAGUAUGUCAUGUGACAAAACCAUGACUCACAAUUACUUCUAUAGUUCAUUUGUCCUGUGUCCUGUAGCAUUAAACCUAAUGAUUUGGACAAGAAAAGACUCACCUGGCUUCAUUUCCUUUUCUGCUGAAUGUCAAUUUCACAUGACCAUGGGGACGAUUCAUUAGCCUCUGAAACUUCCAGGAAGAGGGAAUUUCUUUGCUUUUAAUUUAAAUCAUUUAAACUAUUUUAAAAUAGUCUGAAAAUAAUAUUUUAAAUAAUUAUGCUUAAUAGUACAAUUUAUACACACACAUUGCUAUAUUUAUAUAUAUAUAUGCAUAUGUGCAUAUAUAAGCACUAAUUUCUAAGUAGAAGAAUUUGUUAAUUAAUCACCCUUAAUGGCAAAAUAGCUUCCCAUUAGUCAAGCCUCAGGUUAAUUAAUUCACCAGACGAUGAGUGAUAUAAGUCCUAGUGCUUUCUUCCUAACUACUUACUAUUCCAUCCAGAAGACAUGCUCAAUAUAUCUCUCACUGAACAGCCUGGUUUCUGCUUCUGCGGAGGCUGAAUUUUAGCACUAUAUCUGAUAAACAUUUUCUUGGAAUAAAAAAAAGAAUGUAAUUUUUUUUUUGACACAGACCUAUUUAAUGUUGGUGAGAAUAGUGGGCACCAUUUAGGAUUCAAAAAAAAAGAACUAUUCAGGGAGCAGCCACAGCUUGCCAUUGAAGUUGAAGUAGAUUUCUUAUCAACACACAGAACUCAAUUUUGCCAAGAACCUGAAUCAACCUGCAAAUGAAUUCUUUCCCACAGCCCAUGAAUAAGAACACAGUUUGGAUGAGGCCUUGAUUUUGGCAUUGUGUAAUCCUAAACUAAGAAUCCACUCAAACCCACCUGGACUUUUGACCUAGAAAGCUAAUUAUUGGAUGUUAUUUUUAGCUGUGAAGUUUGUGAUAAUUUGUAAUGCAACAACAGACAAUGUCUAAAAAUGUCAAAUAAAUACCUCCAACUCAACUCGUCAAAAAAUAUUGCUCCUCUCAGUUAUGUUUUGCAACCUUUCCCUUUUAUUUCAUAACAAUUUCAUUGUUUUUGUUGUUGCAGCCAAAAAACUUAGUCAUUCUUACAUCCUCACUUUUUCUCCCAUCUUUGUAGGUGUAGAAUCCACCUCAAAAUCCUAUGGACUCUACUUCUAUAAAAUAUGUAGAAUUUAACCAGUUUUCACUCCUUCACUGUUCUCACCCUGGUCUGAGCCACUAACAUCUCUCACCUUUUAUUGCAACAGUCAACUAACAGGUAGUCACACUUCAACCUUAUCUCACUAGCCUCCUGUGUAUUUUGUGGACACAAUAGUCUUUUCAAAACCUAAGUCAUACCAUAUCUUUUCUCAAAAUCUUGCAUCAUCUCCCCAUUUGAACUCACAAUAAAAGUCUCCAGGCAAUGAGCUGGUAGGUCUUUAUGAUCUGUUCCUCCCACAUCCAAUGUAUCUUUUCCUGUUCUCCCCUUUAUUUUCUCUGUGCCAGCCAUACUGGCUUCCUUAACAUUCUAAAAACCCAGACAGUGUUACCUUAUUGUGUUUGUUCUAAUAACCACUUUAACUCUGACUUGAGCUUCAUCAAAUCCCUCGCUUGCUUCAGGGUUUGCUCAGAUUUUUAUUCUCCAUGAAACCUGCCCUAGCUACUGAAGCCCCACGCUUCCUAUCCUCUCUCUUGGCCUUCCAGGUCCCUCCCAACUGCUCUGAUGUCUUUGGUUAUUUUUUCCAUGGAAUUUAUAAAUUUUUAACAUGCUAUAUACUUUGCUUUCUUAUUGUGUUUUUUACUUAUUUCCCAUCUCUCUCCGAAUACAAUGUGAGCUCCUUGCAAACAGGAAUUUGUGUUCGUUGUAUUCACAGAUGUGUAUGUGUAAGGCACCUGAAUAUUGGCCUAACACGCUGAAAGAGCUCAGUAAAUAUUUGUUAAACAAAUGGGUGAAAUGCAGACACUUAUAGACACUAUUUAGAAGAGAAUAACAUCUACAGAUUUGAACUACUAGGUUGCCCCUGGCAGAGGCAUGGUCAGAGGCACACAGCACAAUAAUAGUGAAACCAGAUUUACCUUGGACACAUUAACCAUUGAUCUUGAUUGAAAACAAGGACAGCAACAAUAAAAUUUGAUACUAAAUCUUUCUUUGAGAAUUUGCAUGAUAGACAUACAGAGAAUAUGGAAUCCUGGCUCUAUGACUAACCAAUGGCGGAAUCUUGGUUAAGUUAUUUAAUUAUUUUCUGUCUCAGUGUCCCAUUUUAAACAUGGAGAUAAAAUAUAUCCCAUGAGGUUGUUUUGAGGGUUAAACAAGAUAACAGAUUUAAAGUGUCUAGAAGAGAGCCUGCACUCGGAGAAUAUUAGCCUUCCUCACCUCUGUGCAUUCUUUGACUUCAAAUUGUUGAACAAGUGCCAAGAUGUAGAAUCUAUCACAGUGAUACCCCUUGAUGUAGGGCAUGUCUGUCAUAUAUUUAAAGAAAUUUUCAAACAACCUCCCUCAUCCUGAAUUCAAAAUGGGGCUUAGAAUGAGGUUCUUAGAAACAUAAUUUAGAGACGCCACCUCUAAAGCAACUCUUAGUUUGGAACCUCGAAUUUCUUGGUCUAUAUUGGAUCCAAACUCGUACAACACACCUCACAUCGUUCCCCAGAGACCCCUAUCCCUCUCCAUUUUCCUUUCCUCUUUCUUCCUCCCUCACCCUUGUACAAUCCAUUAUAACUCAUCUUUCUACCUUCUACAGAACCUGGAACAUGUAUUUGCACAGAAUAGUCACUACAUUUUGCUAAACAAUUAAAUCACUUAGGAAAUGACCCAGCUUUUUGUUCCUCUAUGAUGGCAUGUUUCGAAAAAGGCUGUACUAUUUUAUUAUUUCAGAGUUCUUAUUCCCGUGUUUCAGGGCUGGGACUAAUGAAUAUUUUCCUAGGGAUCUCUAAGUCCAGCUCCCGAUGGCAUCCACCUGGGCUCAGCACUUUAGAUGCAUCUUUCACAAUGUUGUCUCUGUGUGAAUAAAGUCAGCCAAUCCAUGUGGCCACCCCUGGCCCUUGUACCUGCUCUUGUUUUAUAGCUGUUAUCCUUUUGAAAAUGCAUGUUACAGCAUUCACAGAGAAACUAGAGCACUAGAUUGAAACACAGUUUCUCUUCUAAACACACUUCUUCAUUUGCUUAUGUUUUUCUCAGAAGUUUCCUUUGGGAAUUAAAUAUAUUUUUAAUGUUUGUUUCAAGUGGGCUUUUUUUUUUUUUUUUUUUUUUAAGGAAAGCAGCUUUCUUCUUCUCCAAGUACUUUGAUCUUUUUUUUUUCUUGAAAUACAAUUCCUGAAGCUGAAGCUAUAAACAUUAUUUUCUUCCUUGGAAAUAAUUAGGCGCCAUUUUAAAAAGAGAUUUUUAAAGGAGAUACUUAAGCUCAAGUAUGUAAAGAAUGACACACUGUGAAACAUGGGUAUGGUUUUAGGCAUGAGAAACUCUGCUAAAACAUAAUUAUACAAUGAGGAAUUUCUACAUGAUAACAAUUAACAUUUAAGUGGCCAAAUAAUGCCUCACUCUCGUUUUACUCAGAGAUGACCAGGGAAAUGGAGUCUUCUAGUAUAAGUGUGACAUGGCAAUGGGAGGCAUUUUUCAAAAGAUAAUGUAAGAUUGGCAGCUUCUCCAAGUAGGUGUGUUAACUCUUCUUUAGACUGAUGAGGAAAUCCAGUUUCAGAGAGGCAAAGUGACUUGAAAGUAUGUGGUUGUUUGCAGCUUUAAUUUCCUUAUCUGUAAAAGGAGAGCUGUCUGCAUUUUCUCCAUAACAUUAGAAAACAUGGAUUCUUGUAGUUGAGAUCAGCCCAUAUAAAAUCCCACAUAACCAGUAUGUCAGACAAUUGCCUCUGAACUAACUGAAGAGUAGGAAGAAAUACACCCCAUUCAUUCUGAUGGCUCACAUUCUGCUACAGAAGAUGUGUGCCUUCAUGCCUCAUAUCUCCUCAGCCUUCCCUUUUCAUAAACCAGGUAAUGUAAACAAAAAUAAUGUGGCUAUUGUGUUUUAAGAGAUGUGUAGUUAAUUAAUGAGCUAUUAAUGUAACUUUAGUAUAUAAAGUUCCUUUUGAACCUCCUCUUUUUCCUGUCACUCUGAUUCCAUCAAGCUACCCGCUCACCUAGUUUUAAGACAUUGAAUCUAUAAAGUCACUUCCAUAUAAGUACACAAAUAUUCGGCAAGUUAGUUAGACACUGGCACCAUAUGCAGUUCCCCGAAGAGUGACCCUAUUUCAGCAUUAAUACGUCACACUCCCAUAGUUGCACAAGAAAUACUGACAUAAUGCUGAUUCUAUUUCAGUGAUUAGUUUAGGCCCUGAGGCAAGGUAUAUAGGUAAAUUAUGGAACAUUAGAAGUGUUUUAACAGAUACAUAAAUAAAUGCCAUAGGGAGAAAGGGGAAGGUGAGAUUAAUCCUUUUUGCUGGGUCUGGGGAGAGGCACAGGUCUUUAACCAAGGAGGUGAUACUGAAACAGGUGCUCUGGUGAUAGGUAGGAUUCUCAUCUGUACUCAUGGAGAAAGGACAGAGGAAAUUAUCUGAGCACAAGCCAGAGAGAUGGUAUAUUAGUUUCCUGUGGCUGCUGUAACAAACAACCACACAUUUUGUGUCCUGAAACAUCAAAAAUGUAUUCUUUCACAGUUCUGGAGGCCAGAGGUCUGAAAUCCAGGUGCCUGCAGGGGCAGGGCCAAGCUUUCUCUGGGGCUUUAGGAGGGAAUCCUUUCUACUUCCAGUGGUUGUUGGCGUUGCUUGGCUUCCUUG
RNAcentral lists this long non-coding RNA (6230 nucleotides) under Homo sapiens (human). RNAcentral's name for it is "HSALNT0056454". Lineage: Eukaryota; Metazoa; Chordata; Mammalia; Primates; Hominidae. The record is from RNAcentral.